AUGUUUGCUUUUACCAAAAGUGCGUUUUUUACAGCUACUGCAGGCAUCGCUUCAGAGUGCCGCAGAACGCUAAAAGGCUCUUGGGGGCUCGGCGGGGCACCACCUCCUCCCACAGGACUACCAGCCCCAGCCGGGGACCGGCUCGAUUCGGUUUUUAUGGCGUCGAGACACCUCUCAACCCCCUCCCUUCCCCUUUCUCCCUUCUCAUCCCAUCUCCCUGACGGCCACCCCUCCGCGCUGGAGGCGGUGCCGUGCGUGGGCAGGGCGGGAGCUGGUAAGGCGGCGCUGGCCGCCAUUUGCCCGCAGUUGCCGGCUCCUCCUGCCCGCCCGCCCACAUGUCAUGGCGGCCCCGGCCCUGACCUUCCUCCGGCGGCUGUGCUGGCGGUCUCUAUGCGAAGCGAGGGGAAGCUGACACAGACGCGUUCAGAACAUGAGGCUGCACACAUCCAACAGGCUUCACAUCCAGCUGUUUAAGAUUGGAGGCCCCACAACUCGCUGUGUGAGACAGGCUGUAUCUGCAGUCACUGCUGGGUAGACUG
Molecule: long non-coding RNA, 539 nt
Filed under: Anas zonorhyncha (Eastern spot-billed duck)
Lineage: Eukaryota; Metazoa; Chordata; Aves; Anseriformes; Anatidae
Description: lncRNA (ENSAZOG00000001832.1)
Source: RNAcentral